ACGGUGAUACCCCAACACUACACAAGUCAUAUCUGUACGAGAAAUUGAAAAAAAAAGACGUACGUCCCACCCACUUGCGGUUGACGCUAAUACCGGACGUACCAGCGUAUUAUCAAUAUUUUACCGUAGAGCUAAAAAAUAGCCGAAAAACGGCCACGUUCAAAAAUACGUACCGGGGCCAAAGAAAAUUGUAGAGAAUUUUUCAAAAAAGCAAAAUGAAGUGUGGUAGAGACGAUGAGGUAUGCUGCUACAGCUCAAAUGCAGCGAUAUUCGUGAAGUGGAAAACAUGUGACUGGGUGAUCAAUCUUGAGUGCACAGCACGGAGAUGCUUUGUGAUGUAAGGGGAUCCAGACCAGACUGUUCAGCCAUAUGGAAGCGAAUGAUAGAAGACACUCGGACGCUGGUAACCGGUUCAGA
This is a long non-coding RNA of Neodiprion virginianus, 417 nucleotides long. RefSeq lists it as uncharacterized. The transcript is spliced from 3 exons. The record is from RefSeq and is a predicted model, not a curated record. Lineage: Eukaryota; Metazoa; Arthropoda; Insecta; Hymenoptera; Diprionidae.